This 378-nucleotide ribosomal RNA is filed under the name Triticum aestivum (bread wheat). RNAcentral describes it as "partial small subunit ribosomal RNA". The record is from RNAcentral. Lineage: Eukaryota; Viridiplantae; Streptophyta; Magnoliopsida; Poales; Poaceae.
AUGAGAACGAACCUGAAUGUUCAUUCCUGGCUUAGUAUAUUGAGCAGGUGCAGGAGACUAGUUGAUAGAAACCUCUCCAUGUUUGGUGAGCAUCCAAAAUUACGUCUUGAAAAAGGUCUUCCAAUCGACGUGACGGACAUGCUUCUGUGUCCUGCUUCUCCACUUCAGUUCAUUUGGAAUAGCUCAAACAAUGUUCCAGCAAAGGAAUUACCACAGGUGACCUUUACAGAGCUGUUAGUGGAUCUUAGUCCGAAGAUGCAGGCCACUGUAGUUAGAUUUGAAUCAAGAAUUCCACCUUAUACUACAUUUGAUCACAUUCUUUCAAGUUAUGUUCAAGAUACUCCUCUGACCGGGACCAAGCGUAGAGGAGUGCCUUAA